This 497-nucleotide ribosomal RNA is filed under the name uncultured bacterium. Its description in RNAcentral is "partial 16S ribosomal RNA". It matches the Rfam family "Bacterial small subunit ribosomal RNA", at positions 28 to 507 of the family's 1533-position model. The record is from RNAcentral.
GAUGAACGCUGGCGGCGUGCCUAAUACAUGCAAGUCGAGCGAACAGACGAGGAGCUUGCUCCUUGGACGUUAGCGGCGGACGGGUGAGUAACACGUGGAUAACCUACCUAUAAGACUGGGAUAACUUCGGGAAACCGGAGCUAAUACCGGAUAAUAUAUUGAACCGCAUGGUUCAAUAGUGAGAGACGGUUUUUCUGUCACUUAUAGAUGGAUCCGCGCCGCAUUAGCUAGUUGGUCAGUUACCGGCUUACCAAGGCAACGAUGCGUAGCCGACCUGAGAGGGUGAUCGGCCACACUGGAACUGAGACACGGUCCAGACUCCUACGGGAGGCAGCAGUCGGGAAUCUUCCGCAGUGGGCGAAAGCCUGACGGAGCAACGCCGCGUGAGUGAUGAAGGUCUUCGGAUCGUAAAGCUCUGUUAUUAGGGAAGAACAAAUGUGUAAGUAACUAUGCACGUCUUGACGGUACCUAAUCAGAAAGCAACGGCUAACUACGUG